AGAGUUUGAUCAUGGCUCAGAACGAACGCUGGCGGCAGGCCUAACACAUGCAAGUCGAACGCCCCGCAAGGGGAGUGGCAGACGGGUGAGUAACGCGUGGGAACAUGCCCUUCGGUUCGGAAUAACCCAGGGAAACUUGGGCUAAUACCGGAUACGUCCGAGAGGAGAAAGAUUUAUCGCCGAAGGAUUGGCCCGCGUCC
This 200-nucleotide ribosomal RNA is filed under the name uncultured bacterium. RNAcentral describes it as "partial 16S ribosomal RNA". It matches the Rfam family "Bacterial small subunit ribosomal RNA", at positions 8 to 238 of the family's 1533-position model. The record is from RNAcentral.